UACGGAGGGUGCGAGCGUUGUCCGGAAUUACUGGGCGUAAAGCGUGCGCAGGCUGCUUCUCAAGUCAGGGGUGAAAGCCCAGAGCUCAACUCUGGAAUUGCCUUUGAGACUGAGUGGCUUGAGUACGAGAGAGGUGAGUGGAAUUCCCAGUGUAGAGGUGAAAUUCGUAGAUAUUGGGAAGAACACCGGUGGCGAAGGCGGCUCACUGGCUCGUAACUGACGCUCAUGCACGACAGCGUGGGGAUCAAACAGG
This 253-nucleotide ribosomal RNA is filed under the name uncultured bacterium. Its description in RNAcentral is "partial 16S ribosomal RNA". It matches the Rfam family "Bacterial small subunit ribosomal RNA", at positions 524 to 776 of the family's 1533-position model. The record is from RNAcentral.